This 421-nucleotide ribosomal RNA is filed under the name uncultured bacterium. RNAcentral's name for it is "bacterial SSU rRNA". It matches the Rfam family "Bacterial small subunit ribosomal RNA", at positions 356 to 773 of the family's 1533-position model. The record is from RNAcentral.
AAGGAAUAUUGGGCAAUGGACGCAAGUCUGACCCAGCCAUGCCGCGUGCAGGAUGACGGCCCUAUGGGUUGUAAACUGCUUUUGUACGGGAAAAAACCCCCAGUCGUGUAUUGGGGCUGAUGGUACCGUAAGAAUAAGCAUCGGCUAACUCCGUGCCAGCAGCCGCGGUAAUACGGAGGAUGCAAGCGUUAUCCGGAUUCAUUGGGUUUAAAGGGUCCGCAGGCGGAACUGUAAGUCAGGGGUGAAAUCCUACGGCUCAACCGUAGAACUGCCCUUGAUACUGCUGUUCUAGAGUACAGUUGAGGUGGGCGGAAUGUGUCAUGUAGCGGUGAAAUGCAUAGAUAUGACACAGAACACCGAUCGCGAAGGCAGCUCACCAAGCUGUAACUGACGCUCAGGGACGAAAGCGUGGGGAUCAAAC